UAAUAAUCUCUCCUAUCAUUGGAGCAUGAAGUGAACCUACACCUCCUUUUGAUUUUCUUUCUUUCGCCAAAUUAGGAACCCUCACCACCCCGGCUCCUCUCAUUACGACCGACCUCCUACCCCGCUGCGAUCGACCUCAACAAACAGCGACCAAGCCAUAGACUUCGAGACCAAACCAUUGCCCCGUCACCUACCGCCUCCAUGCUUGGAAACAUAAGGAACUUUGAGUAUGAGCUGUGUUCUGGCCUCGUGUAGUCUUUUCAUUUUGUAGUCAUGUAUAUUCAUCAUGAUGAGCUCAUUUAUUAUAUGCCUUAAACUAAUAUAUAUGUAUCAUGUUGGGCUUGUACUAGUUGUACACAUUAGAUUAAUAUAAAUGAAAUGCUAUUUCUUUUCCUUUCA
Dendrobium catenatum is the source of this 399-nucleotide long non-coding RNA. RefSeq lists it as uncharacterized. The transcript is spliced from 2 exons. Lineage: Eukaryota; Viridiplantae; Streptophyta; Magnoliopsida; Asparagales; Orchidaceae. The record is from RefSeq and is a predicted model, not a curated record.